This 211-nucleotide ribosomal RNA is filed under the name Staphylococcus chromogenes. RNAcentral describes it as "partial 16S ribosomal RNA". It matches the Rfam family "Bacterial small subunit ribosomal RNA", at positions 356 to 559 of the family's 1533-position model. Lineage: Bacteria; Bacillati; Bacillota; Bacilli; Caryophanales; Staphylococcaceae. The record is from RNAcentral.
AGGGAAUCUUCCGCAAUGGGCGAAAGCCUGACGGAGCAACGCCGCGUGAGUGAUGAAGGUCUUCGGAUCGUAAAGCUCUGUUGUUAGGGAAGAACAAAUGUGUAAGUAACUGUGCACAUCUUGACGGUACCUAACCAGAAAGCCACGGCUAACUACGUGCCAGCAGCCGCGGUAAUACGUAGGUGGCAAGCGUUAUCCGGAAUUAUUGGGC